Molecule: long non-coding RNA, 1227 nt
Organism: Equus quagga
Lineage: Eukaryota; Metazoa; Chordata; Mammalia; Perissodactyla; Equidae
Exons: 3
Source: RefSeq, a predicted model, not a curated record
UACCCCAGAGAGAGAACUGAAAACUGGAUAAAGAUAACCCCUACAGCAAGGGACAGUCCUGACUGAGAUGGAAGAGGCAGAAAUUCCUCUCCAGAGAGAAAAAAGCCACCUUCACAAGCCACAGAGCUUCAUAGCCAGUGGAAUGGGAGCCACCCUAAGAUUGGAGUCAUUCGUGGAACAGGCCUGGAUGAUUCAGAAAUCUUAGAAGGAAGAACCGAAAAAUAUGUGGAUACUCCGUUUGGCAAGGUUAAUCUCCAGUUAGUGGAGAGAAGCUUUUUCCUUUCUCCUUGCUGGCUUGGUUUUUAAGUUUAAAAUUUAUAAAAAAAAAAUCAUAACUGCUAUUGUGUUGGCAGCCCAGGGCUGCCUCCCCCAGGCUGAGAGGGGCCAGCAGUCCCGGCACUGGGUCCCACCAGCUGAGACAGUGGCCCUGAGGAUACCUGGGGCAUACGGUAGAGAACGUGGCUUUUGAACGUGUGCACUAACUUCUCAGCUUCUGUCCCUGGAAACCAGAUGCUCAUGCAGACACAGCAACGGUACUUUUCAGGUCUCUGCAUCCAAAUCAGCUUCUAAUUUGGGGCCCGUAUGUCACACCACACUAAUUUAGCAGAUAGACUGAUUACAGAUGGGAGGAAAUGUCAUUGCCAAGUGGGCUUUCCUUAGGAAGCCCUGCCCAAAGCGGGGUUUCUUGGGGAUCCACCACAUGAUUGCAUAACUGAACUGGAAAUAAAACUCCUCCUUUCUGUUAAAAGGAGGCUGUUUGUUCUUCCAGCCCACAUGUCACCCAGCCAGGGCGCGAGAGUCUCCCUCCUCCUGUCUGCAUAGUGCUCCUUCCAGACAUGGCAGUUCCUCUCAUCCUCCCACGAGGAUCCUGCGUCUGGCAGUCCCAACUAAACUCUCUCCUUUUCAGCCAAGUCCUUAGAUGGACCUCAUGUCCUCCAAGCCCUGCGGUCAGCUCGGCUCACUUCUUCCCCUCACGUUGUCUUCACCUCCUCGGUUCUCAGGAUCUUUCCCUCCAUGACCUCAGAUCACCGAAUGGCCAUCUCAGACCCGGGUAACAUGGCACACACUUCCGGUGCUGAGUUCCUAAGUUCCAUGACAAGGGCCUCCUGUCCUUCCCACGUUUCACUCUCACAGCUAUUCUUGAACCUGCCAGAUACCCUUGACACAUGUGUAGUUGACGAUCAUAUCAUCAGAGUGCCCUGGGGUGCUUGCUACAAAGAGCUCUUA